Molecule: transfer RNA, 77 nt
Filed under: Granulicella mallensis MP5ACTX8
Lineage: Bacteria; Pseudomonadati; Acidobacteriota; Terriglobia; Terriglobales; Acidobacteriaceae
Also listed under: 3 other names
Description: tRNA-Arg (TCT) (tRNA-Arg-TCT-1-1)
Rfam family: tRNA
About the family: Transfer RNA (tRNA) molecules are approximately 80 nucleotides in length. Their secondary structure includes four short double-helical elements and three loops (D, anti-codon, and T loops).
Source: RNAcentral
GGGCGAGUAGCUCAACUGGAUAGAGCACCGACCUUCUAAGUCGGGGGUUGCAGGUUCGAGACCUGCCUCGCCCACCA